Molecule: ribosomal RNA, 746 nt
Filed under: uncultured Clostridium sp.
Lineage: Bacteria; Bacillati; Bacillota; Clostridia; Eubacteriales; Clostridiaceae
Also listed under: 1 other name
Description: bacterial SSU rRNA
Rfam family: Bacterial small subunit ribosomal RNA
Source: RNAcentral
GACGAACGCUGGCGGCGUGCUUAACACAUGCAAGUCGAACGUGAUUUUUGUGGAAAUUCUUUCGGGAAUGGAAAUGAAAUGAAAGUGGCGAACGGGUGAGUAACACGUGAGCAACCUACCUUACACAGGGGGAUAGCCGUUGGAAACGACGAUUAAUACCGCAUGAGACCACAGAAUCGCAUGAUAUAGGGGUCAAAGAUUUAUCGGUGUAAGAAGGGCUCGCGUCUGAUUAGCUAGUUGGAAGGGUAAAGGCCUACCAAGGCGACGAUCAGUAGCCGGUCUGAGAGGAUGAACGGCCACAUUGGAACUGAGACACGGUCCAAACUCCUACGGGAGGCAGCAGUGGGGAAUAUUGCACAAUGGGGGGAACCCUGAUGCAGCGACGCCGCGUGAGCGAAGAAGGUUUUCGAAUCGUAAAGCUCUGUCCUAUGAGAAGAUAAUGACGGUAUCAUAGGAGGAAGCCCCGGCUAAAUACGUGCCAGCAGCCGCGGUAAUACGUAUGGGGCGAGCGUUGUCCGGAAUUAUUGGGCGUAAAGGGUACGUAGGCGGUUUUUUAAGUCAGGUGUGAAAGCGUGAGGCUUAACCUCAUUAAGCACUUGAAACUGGAAGACUUGAGUGAAGGAGAGGAAAGUGGAAUUCCUAGUGUAGCGGUGAAAUGCGUAGAUAUUAGGAGGAAUACCGGUGGCGAAGGCGACUUUCUGGACUUUUACUGACGCUCAGGUACGAAAGCGUGGGGAGCAAACAGG